UAGCUGGUCUGAGAGGAUGAUCAGCCACACUGGAACUGAGACACGGUCCAGACUCCUACGGGAGGCAGCAGUGGGGAAUAUUGCACAAUGGAGGAAACUCUGAUGCAGCAACGCCGCGUGGAGGAUGACGCAUUUCGGUGUGUAAACUCCUUUUAUAUGGGAAGAUAAUGACGGUACCAUAUGAAUAAGCACCGGCUAACUCCGUGCCAGCAGCCGCGGUAAUACGGAGGGUGCAAGCGUUACUCGGAAUCACUGGGCGUAAAGCGCGCGCAGGCGGCCUUUUAAGUUGGAUGUGAAAGCCUACGGCUCAACCGUAGAACUGCAUCCAAAACUAUUGGGCUAGAGUGUGGGAGAGGAAGAUGGAAUUAGUUGUGUAGGGGUAAAAUCCGUAGAGAUAACUAGGAAUACCAAAAGCGAAGGCAAUCUUCUGGAACAUUACUGACGCUGAGGCGCGAAAGCGUGGGGAGCAAACAGGAUUAGAUACCCUGGUAGUCCACGCCCUAAACGAUGAAUGUUAGUCGUCGGGUAGCUAGUCUAUUCGGUGAUGCAGCUAACGCAUUAAACAUUCCGCCUGGGGAGUACGGUCGCAAGAUUAAAACUCAAAGGAAUAGACGGGGACCCGCACAAGUGGUGGAGCAUGUGGUUUAAUUCGAAAUACGCGAAGAACCUUACCUAGCCUUGACAUAUAUUAGAACACCCUAGAGAUAGAGUGGUGCCUUCGGGAGCUUUUAUACAGGUGCUGCACGGCUGUCGUCAGCUCGUGUCGUGAGAUGUUGGGUUAAGUCCCGCAACGAGCGCAACCCUCGUCACUAGUUACUAACGGUUCGGCCGAGGACUCUAGUGAGACUGCCUUCGUAAGGAGGAGGAAGGUGAGGACGACGUCAAGUCAUCAUGGCCCUUACGGCUAGGGCAACACACGUGCUACAAUGGCCAGGACAAUGAGACGCGAUACCGCGAGGUGGAGCAAAUCUAUAAACCUGGUCUCAGUUCGGAUUGUAGUCUGCAACUCGACUACAUGAAGCUGGAAUCACUAGUAAUCGUAGAUCAGCUAUGCUACGGUGAAUACGUUCCCGGGUCUUGUACUCACCGCCCGUCACACCAUGGGAGUUGAUUUCACCCGAAGCGGGGAAGCUAAACUGGCUACCCUCCACGGUGGAAUCAGCGACUGGGGUGAAGUCGUAACAAGGUAACCGUAGGAGAACCUGCGGUUG
RNAcentral lists this ribosomal RNA (1211 nucleotides) under metagenome. RNAcentral's name for it is "bacterial SSU rRNA". It matches the Rfam family "Bacterial small subunit ribosomal RNA", at positions 284 to 1520 of the family's 1533-position model. The record is from RNAcentral.